RNAcentral lists this ribosomal RNA (379 nucleotides) under uncultured bacterium. Its description in RNAcentral is "bacterial SSU rRNA". It matches the Rfam family "Bacterial small subunit ribosomal RNA", at positions 521 to 896 of the family's 1533-position model. The record is from RNAcentral.
UAAUACGUAGGGGGCGAGCGUUGUCCGGAUUCAUUGGGCGUAAAGAGCUCGUAGGCGGCUUGGCAAGUCGGAUGUGAAAACUCCAGGCUCAACCUGGAGCCGCCAUUCGAUACUGCCAUGGCUAGAGUCCGGUAGGGGAGUGUGGAAUUCCCGGUGUAGCGGUGAAAUGCGCAGAUAUCGGGAGGAACACCGAUGGCGAAGGCAGCACUCUGGGCCGGUACUGACGCUGAGGAGCGAAAGCGUGGGGAGCGAACAGGAUUAGAUACCCUGGUAGUCCACGCCGUAAACGUUGGGCACUAGGUGUGGGGCCUUAUCAACGGGUUCCGUGCCGCAGCUAACGCAAUAAGUGCCCCGCCUGGGGAGUACGGCCGCAAGGCUA